This 460-nucleotide ribosomal RNA is filed under the name uncultured bacterium. Its description in RNAcentral is "partial 16S ribosomal RNA". It matches the Rfam family "Bacterial small subunit ribosomal RNA", at positions 338 to 795 of the family's 1533-position model. The record is from RNAcentral.
CCUACGGGUGGCAGCAGUGAGGAAUAUUGGUCAAUGGGCGGAAGCCUGAACCAGCCAUGCAGCGUGCAGGAUGACGGCCCUACGGGUUGUAAACUGCUUUUAUACGGGGCUAAAGGGCCUUACGCGUAGCCGUUUGCAUGUACCGUAUGAUUAAGGACCGGCUAAUUCCGUGCCAGCAGCCGCGGUAAUACGGAGGGUCCGGGCGUUAUCCGGAUUUAUUGGGUUUAAAGGGUGCGUAGGCGGCAGGCCAAGCGAGGGGUGAAAUCUCGAGGCGCAACCCCGGGCUUGCAGCGGAAACUGGUGUGUUAGAGUGCGGGUGCGGUAGGCGGAAUGUGUGGUGUAGCGGUGAAAUGCUUAGAUAUGACACAGAACACCGAUUGCGAAGGCAGCUUGCCAAGCUGGAACUGACGCUGAUGCACGAAAGCGAGGGUAUCGAACAGGAUUAGAUACCCCAGUAGUC